RNAcentral lists this ribosomal RNA (472 nucleotides) under uncultured bacterium. Its description in RNAcentral is "bacterial SSU rRNA". It matches the Rfam family "Bacterial small subunit ribosomal RNA", at positions 328 to 793 of the family's 1533-position model. The record is from RNAcentral.
CGCUAUCACUCCUACGGGAGGCAGCAGUGGGGAAUAUUGCACAAUGGGCGCAAGCCUGAUGCAGCCAUGCCGCGUGUAUGAAGAAGGCCUUCGGGUUGUAAAGUACUUUCAGCAGUGAGGAAGGCGGGUACGUUAAUAGCGUGCUUGUUUGACGUUAGCUGCAGAAGAAGCACCGGCUAACUCCGUGCCAGCAGCCGCGGUAAUACGGAGGGUGCGAGCGUUAAUCGGAAUUACUGGGCGUAAAGCGCAUGCAGGCGGCCUGUUAAGUCAGAUGUGAAAGCCCGGGGCUUAACCUCGGAAUUGCAUUUGAAACUGGCAGGCUAGAGUCUUGUAGAGGGGGUAGAAUUUCAGGUGUAGCGGUGAAAUGCGUAGAGAUCUGAAGGAAUACCAGUGGCGAAGGCGGCCCCCUGGACAAAGACUGACGCUCAGAUGCGAAAGCGUGGGGAGCAAACAGGAUUAGAUACCCUGGUAG